Molecule: non-coding RNA, 106 nt
Filed under: Lottia gigantea (owl limpet)
Lineage: Eukaryota; Metazoa; Mollusca; Gastropoda; Lottiidae
Description: Eukaryotic large subunit ribosomal RNA
Rfam family: Eukaryotic large subunit ribosomal RNA
Source: Rfam by way of RNAcentral
CGGCCUCGGAUCGAGCGAGAUUACCCGCUGAACUUAAGCAUAUCACUAAGCGGAGGAAAAGAAACCAACCGGGAUUCCCUCAGAGCGGCGAGCGAAGCGGAAAAGG